AGGUGCGAUCAUACCAGCACUAAUGCACCGGAUCCCAUCAGAACUCCGCAGCUAAGCGUGCUUGGGCGAGAGUAGUACUAGGAUGGGUGACCUCCUGGGAAGUCCUCGAGUUGCACCUC
RNAcentral lists this ribosomal RNA (119 nucleotides) under Vigna radiata var. radiata (mung bean). Lineage: Eukaryota; Viridiplantae; Streptophyta; Magnoliopsida; Fabales; Fabaceae. The record is from RNAcentral.